This 484-nucleotide ribosomal RNA is filed under the name uncultured bacterium. RNAcentral's name for it is "partial 16S ribosomal RNA". It matches the Rfam family "Bacterial small subunit ribosomal RNA", at positions 30 to 507 of the family's 1533-position model. The record is from RNAcentral.
AUUGAACGCUGGCGGCAGGCCUAACACAUGCAAGUCGAGCGGAUGAAGGGAGCUUGCUCCUGGAUUCAGCGGCGGACGGGUGAGUAAUGCCUAGGAAUCUGCCUGGUAGUGGGGGAUAACGUCCGGAAACGGGCGCUAAUACCGCAUACGUCCUGAGGGAGAAAGUGGGGGAUCUUCGGACCUCACGCUAUCAGAUGAGCCUAGGUCGGAUUAGCUAGUUGGUGGGGUAAAGGCCUACCAAGGCGACGAUCCGUAACUGGUCUGAGAGGAUGAUCAGUCACACUGGAACUGAGACACGGUCCAGACUCUUACGGGAGGCAGCAGUGGGGAAUAUUGGACAAUGGGCGAAAGCCUGAUCCAGCCAUGCCGCGUGUGUGAAGAAGGUCUUCGGAUUGUAAAUCACUUUAAGUUGGGAGGAAGGGCAGUAAGUUAAUACCUUGCUGUUUUGACGUUACCAACAGGAUAAGCACCGGCUAACUUCGUG